Non-coding RNA from Podarcis lilfordi (Lilford's wall lizard), 379 nucleotides. NCBI's taxonomy places the organism in Eukaryota, Metazoa, Chordata, Lepidosauria, Squamata, Lacertidae. The record is from the annotation of a GenBank genome assembly.
GUUCCAUAAGCUCAUCUCCUACCUACCCUAUAAAAAGAAGAGAGGCUUUCAUGAGGACAUUUUGAUGGUCAUGUAAGAUAGCAAAAGCUUUCUGGGAAAUGAUUUAUAAUGAGUUGGGGGAAAAAAAUGUUGAAGAUAACUUUUGUUUAAAAAACAACAACCCAGAAGCUUUUCUUUUAGGUAUAAUCGGUGGAGAGAUACCCAAAGAAAAGAAAAUAAUAAUUUGUGUACGCUACUACAGCUGCUUCAAUGAUUUAUGCCGAGAGAUGGAAAGAAGAAACAGUUCCAACGAAGGAGGAGUGGCAAUUAAAACUGAUGGAGUAUGCAGAAAUGGCGAAACUUACUGGAAGAAUAAGAAACCAAGGACUCAGAUACAUUA